UUUUUCUUCUCAUUAUGUACUUAGGUACUUUGACUGAACAGAUUUGUAUUGACUUCCUAGAACCUUUCCAUUGUCCACUGAGAGGGUUUAAAACAUUUUGUUAAGACAUCUGUUGCUUGUUUAAACCAUGUAUUUUAUGUAUCUCAUUUUUAUAUGUGUCUUCAAGUUGCUGUCAUUGAUAUUAAGGCUAAAUAAAAAUUAUGUGUGUUUUCUAUUCCCCUACCUACCCUAUUUUUUGAGCUUAGAAAUAGCCUAAUGUUACCUUAAAGUUUGUUUGAUCAUUUUUCAAUAAGCACUGUUAUUUAUUUUUUUGUUUAUUUACUGUUUUUGUUGUUGUUAUACUGUUGUCUUGUUCAUGUUUUUUGUGUAAAUAAUGUAUAUUUCUUCGUUUGUUCUUAUCCGUAUGUACUUAUAGGUGCUUUGACUGAACACAUUUUUAUUGUCCUUCUAGAACCUUUUCAUUGUCCACUGAGAGGGUUUAAAACAUUUUGUUAAGACAUCUGUUUCUUGUUAAAACCAUGUACUUAUCUUAUUUGUAUAUGUGUCUUCAAGUAGCUGUCAUUGACAUUUAGGGCAAAUAAAAAAUUAUGUGUUUUCUAUUUAGCUACCUACCCUAUGUUUUAAGCUUAGAAAUAGCCUACCAUUAAUUUUUGGGUCAUUUUUCAAUAAGCACUGUUAAAGUUAGAAUU
RNAcentral lists this long non-coding RNA (689 nucleotides) under Mytilus galloprovincialis (Mediterranean mussel). The record is from RNAcentral. Lineage: Eukaryota; Metazoa; Mollusca; Bivalvia; Mytilida; Mytilidae.